Molecule: ribosomal RNA, 510 nt
Filed under: uncultured bacterium
Lineage: Bacteria
Description: partial 16S ribosomal RNA
Rfam family: Bacterial small subunit ribosomal RNA
Source: RNAcentral
GACGAACGCUGGCGGCGUGCUUAACACAUGCAAGUCGAACGAAGAGCGAUGGAAGCUUGCUUCUAUCAAUCUUAGUGGCGAACGGGUGAGUAACGCGUAAUCAACCUGCCCUUCAGAGGGGGACAACAGUUGGAAACGACUGCUAAUACCGCAUACGAUCUAAUCUCGGCAUCGAGGAUAGAUGAAAGGUGGCCUCUACAUGUAAGCUAUCACUGAAGGAGGGGAUUGCGUCUGAUUAGCUAGUUGGAGGGGUAACGGCCCACCAAGGCGAUGAUCAGUAGCCAGUCUGAGAGGAUGAACGGCCACAUUGGGACUGAGACACGGCCCAGACUCCUACGGGAGGCAGCAGUGGGGAAUCUUCCGCAAUGGACGAAAGUCUGACGGAGCAACGCCGCGUGAGUGAUGACGGCCUUCGGGUUGUAAAGCUCUGUUAAUCGGGACGAAAGGCCUUCUUGCGAAUAGUGAGAAGGAUUGACGGUACCGGAAUAGAAAGCCACGGCUAACUACGUG